UACGAGAACACUCCCUCCAUGCCCAUUUUCGGAUUUGCCUCAAAGUUUGGAACUAAAACUUAAUUUCAUCUUCCAAAUGGUGAAAUAUUGAAGUUCUAUCAUUUUGGCUCUUCAUCCACACGGCUAUACCACUAUUUGGUCCUCUAUCUUGCCUCUUGAAAGGAGCUAAGAGCUUAAGGUAAUGAUGAAAAGGAUGGGGAGCAAGACAUUACUACAGAGGGAGAGGCAGAAGCUCAGGAUCUUCCCUAACCAGAACAGUUAUGUUUAUGGAUGAUGGGUUAUGUUUUUAUGAACGUAUGGACUCUGAGAGUCUUUUAUGGAUGAAUAUUCGAAUAGAAUGUCUAUCAGGUAUUCUC
Long non-coding RNA from Juglans microcarpa x Juglans regia, 356 nucleotides. RefSeq lists it as uncharacterized. The record is from RefSeq and is a predicted model, not a curated record. The transcript is spliced from 3 exons. NCBI's taxonomy places the organism in Eukaryota, Viridiplantae, Streptophyta, Magnoliopsida, Fagales, Juglandaceae.